This is a long non-coding RNA of Hemicordylus capensis (graceful crag lizard), 4446 nucleotides long. RefSeq lists it as uncharacterized. Lineage: Eukaryota; Metazoa; Chordata; Lepidosauria; Squamata; Cordylidae. The record is from RefSeq and is a predicted model, not a curated record. The transcript has 4 exons.
CGGCCUAGGAUCGGUGAGGCCUAGGAUCGGAGCAGCCUGCAAACUGAAGAGCUCUUCUCUCCCCGCCUCUCACCUGAUCGGCGGGUAGGUGGGGCUUCCAGAGAGGCCUCCAAGUUGGCCUCCCUGAAGCUUGAACUCAGCAGGCCCCAGCAAGCCAGGAAGGAGGCUGGCAGAGCUCCCUGCAGCAGACCAGACCAUCCAGCACAGCUUUUGCAGUUUAUCUAAGAUGUCCUUGCUGGAUGGAUACCGGUUGUACUUGCCUUAGAGAGUUCCACAAUGAGGUCAUAAACUUCCUGGCCAGCUUCACAGUGCUUAGCAUUUGCUCCCCCACAACCAUGGCCCUAUGUUAAUUGUGAAGGAAACUGUAAAGGACAAAAAGUAAAAGGUAUUUAGUGUGAAUGUUUUACUUUUUCCGUAACUCAGCUAUCAAAUUUAGUACAUAUGCCAAACGAAAAAGAUUAUUACGACAGCACAAAUGCUGCUAUUCUAUGAAUUUACUGAAGUGUGUGUGUGUGUAAGUAAUUAAACAGGGCUACAUUCUUUGGUGCAAUCUGUGAAGGGGAACUUCAUGCAUACUUCAAAGAUCAGCAAGAGCUUGCUCACAGAACCAGAGGCUGCCUUUUCCAUUUAAAAGUUCUCUGUUCUUACCAAGUGAGAACCCAAGGUAGGGCUUUCAUACCAAAACUUCUUCCUUUUGAAAAAAUAAAUAUAUAUAUUAAUCUUGUGCAUUUAACAGCAGCAAUAAUAUACUGAACAUCACAUACAUGUACUCUUUUAGCCUUAAAAGCCAUCUUCUGAAGGAGAAAAAUGAGGUGUGACUAUCCUAAAUAAAUAAGAACACAUGAAUAGCAUAGUACUAAUGUCUCAUUGAAGCCACAGCCAUUUUGCAUGCUUUAUUAUUUUCUCAUUAAUCUCUAUAUUAGAUGGAUAAUACAUCUCAGCUACUUGAAAUACUGUUCUACAUUUAUGACACCGCCUAGAGAUGUACAUAUCAGGUGGUAUAGAAAUAUGAUAAAUAAAUAAAUGCACAUGAACUUAUGCACAUUUCCCUGAAUGCUGUUUCUUUGUGACCAUCAGUGUCAAUCAGGUCACAGUCUUCUAUCUGCCUAAGCUGGUAUAGUGCAAUGGCCAAGUGUGUCCCUCCCUGGUUCAAAUCUUGCCUCAGCUAUGAACUCUAGUAACCUUAGGCAACCCAUGGCAGCUUUCCUUCACUUGCACAUCUUACAUUCAUUUGCCUGAAACCUACAAUGACAUGUGCUCUGAUGAGAUCUGGCAAUGAGAAAAUGAUCGCAGAACUGGAAUUCCCAUCUCCAUUCGGCAAAAUUCCCAAGAAUUCUAGACAGACACUUGAUUCCAAAAUUACUUAUUUUGUCUUUGUCAAAAAACCAGCAAGACAGAAAGAAGAUUUAGUUAAAAUAGAGGAUUUAGAUCCAACCAAGUGGUGAUGAUGAGUCAGUAAUAGUUUCCUGUGUCAGAUGGUUACAGGUUAUUCAAAGCGACUCACAAUAUAAAACCAACACAAACACAGUUGCUCGCAGACUGAUCGGCAGAAAAAGUGAACUGUUUGGCGAAACUGAUUUAUAAGCCUUCUAAAUAGCAAAAGUGACAGCAUCCUAGGAUAUCUUCAAGACUAACACUUUUAUUAUAAUAUAAGCUUUCAUGAGCUGGAAGCUAAUCAUUAAAUGCAUCUAAGUAGUGGCUUCUUGUAUUCUGCGCAGCGCCUAGCAGUCAGUUGCUGUGCUUAGUCAAUAUUCCGGAGAGGAGAGCUGGUCUUGUGGUAGCAAGCAUGACUUGUCCCCUUAGCUAAGCAGGGUCUGCCCUGGUUGCAUAUGAAUGGGAGACCUGAUGUGUGAGCACUGCAAGAUAUUCCCUUCAGGGGAUGAAGCCGCUCUGGGAAGAGCAGAAGGUUUCAAGUUCCCUCCCUGGCUUCUCCAAGAUAGGGCUGAGAGAGAUUCCUGCCUGCAACCUUGGAGAAGCUGCUGCCAGUCUGUGAAAACAAUACUGAGCUAGAUAGACCAAUGGUCUGACUUAGUAUAUGGCAGUUUCCUAAUAUUAAGCAUAUUAAGCACAUUGAUUAUGUUGGGCGGGCAGGCUUUAAACAUGCACGCCUCCAUCCUGUUUGUAAAGACGUUUGAUUCACAUGACCUGGGUUUGCAUCUUUCAGGACAUUCUGGAGAAAAGUAAAGCCUUUUACAAACCUAAUCUGACCCCCUUUCCACCCAUGUAGGUGGGGCCAAGCCUGUCUCCAUGCACAUUAAGGGGGCCAACUCACUUGUGUUUAGAGUAGCUUCCUUAGGAGGUUCCGGGAACUGCAGAGUAGGGCAGAGCAGUGCAGAGCUCGGCAUCGGGGGUACUUCCGCAGAAACAGGCCUCCAUCGGUGCCGCUGAAAGCAGAACUCUGCCGCCAUCACGCUGUGCCCAGUACUGCUGUUCCGUGCGGCGGGAUCGCUCGGCUUCUGGUGACUGCUGCAUCAGCGGCACGGAUUACGGCUGCAGAUCCAUUUCGAAGGCUCCACAUUGGAGCGAAGAACCCAGAACAUGCAAGAGUUCCGAAGCACUGUGCUACCCAAGCCCAAGUGAGCGCGACCAAGCCUCAGCAAGGGUGUAUGGGAGGAAAAACUACACAGUGCCCCCAGUGGCCACGACAUGCUACAAUGGAGCGUUAUUAAGUGGUGAGGAAUACCAAAUCUCAUUUCUCAUCCCUGCCGUUACAUGUGUGGAACUACCAAGUAGUUUGCAAAUCCGGAAAAGUGACGGCUGACCUGACCAUUCUGGAUGUCCUGGCAGAAAAGCAUACUACAUAACCCUAGCUGUACUGCAGGGGUGCCCAACUCAAAUGCCCUGGUAGGCCAGAACCAACCACGUCUUGGUAUGCGGGGGCUGAAGUCAAUUUUCGGUGCAUUAGUUAUUACAAUUUACAUUAAACUUAAUUUAACAAUAUUAAUGAAAGUAAUUAUCUGCUACUUAUGGAUACCUCCCCCCGUGUCUAGGGAUCCACAGUUUUAAUCAAGGCUAGUGGCCAGAAAAUAGGCCCUGGCUGGCCCCCCGUCAGUGGGGCACCUUGAGUGAACGCCAACCUUAAACAAAUGCCAAAUCCUUUCCUGUCCCUAAAUUACUGUUGUUUUCAAUCUGUAAUCCUAGGCAUAUUUACUUGGGAGUAAACCUACUGGGUACACCAUGGGAUAUAUUUUCAAGUAAAUGUGCAUGGGAUGGUAUGGUAAGGCAGUUUCCGGAGAGGAUCUCCCCCCUCGGAGAAGACGGAACUAAUCAAGAAGAGUUGAUGUGUUUAGAAAACCAAAGAAACUCCAUUUUGCCUAGAAAAGCUAAUUUUUAACUUAAAGUAACCUAGCCCGUCUCAGGGACAUCACUGCCUCUCAUGAUUAACGUCAUUAUCUCUCUGUAGCAAAAUUGUAUCUAUGAAACUUGUUAACAUAGUCAAGGUUCUCACUGUUUUUCGCUGACAGUUAAGAAAACAGGAUCUAACCAAAUAAGGAGUAAUCACUCAAUGGACAAUGAAUCAUUCACGUGCGUACUAGAUACUUGGGCCAUGUAUACUGUGUCUAGGGUGUCAGCACCAUUUAGAUUGUUUGUAUAAAUGUAAGAUGCACCUGUAACCAAACUGUAAUCGGUUUGAGAGCGUGAACCUAUUGAUUACCUAUUGCUGACUGUAGAGCAAUAAACCUCAAUUAAUAAUUCCCAAUCCUUGUGUCUUACUGAUUGGUUAAGCGGACCCAGAAACGAGCCCCAUCCACAUCAGAGUGACCCUCAGCCUUUCUGAUAUGUGUUCUGCCUGUGGCUGCCUGAUGCUGCUGCCACCGUUCCAUCUCACACCAUUCACUGCUGUUGCGGAGUCACUCAUUGCGUUGGUCCACCACUGCCACAUGCACCUCAUCUGGUCUCAAAGGCCGGCUGCGCUGAGCUGCUGCUGCUGCUUGUCACCGGACAAGCCAAGCACUCUUCAUGGCUCCUGCUGUUGCUGCAGCAUAUUCCUACCUGGGAGACAAACAAAAAGUCCCUGCGGGCUGCAGCCAGCCUCUGGGGCUUCUGUUUUGCAGACUUGCUCUAGUAUCUCCCAAGGUCAGACUAUUUUUCAUCAUCCUCAUCACCACCAAUUGGAUAACAUGCAGUGGAGAUUGCAAGCCGCCCCCUUUUCCUCCUUGAAAUCCAGCAUCAGCUCUGUCAUAUCAAUUAUGACAGCUUCUUGCCCUCACACAGCUAUCCCAAAGUAUAUUUCGACCACUGGUUUUAGAAGAAAAUAAAAUAAUUGUCUGCAUUUGAGUAUUUAAGGCUGAAAUCUAUGUACAAUUACUUGAGAAUGGAUCCCAUUAGACACAGUGACUUGCUUCUGAGUAAACAUGUAUAUGACUGGGGAGUUAUAUUUCAGAAUGUUUGUGGACUAUGCCUACAGAUCCCCUUUCUCUCUUCAAACACUAAGCACCAUUAAUG